This 2022-nucleotide ribosomal RNA is filed under the name Triticum aestivum (bread wheat). RNAcentral describes it as "partial small subunit ribosomal RNA". Lineage: Eukaryota; Viridiplantae; Streptophyta; Magnoliopsida; Poales; Poaceae. The record is from RNAcentral.
AUGUUCGACGCCCUCGCCGACGCCCGCGCCGCCGGCCUCCCCGCCCCGUCCGCCGCAUUCGCGGCGCUCGUCACCGCGCACGCCUCAGCAGGCCGGCCGCAAGAGGCCGUCGACGCCUUCUCCCGGAUGGGCGACUUCGACUGCCGCCCCACCGCCUUCAUCUACAACGCCGUCUUCAAGGUCCUCGUCGACAGCGGCGCGAUCCUCCUAGCCCUGGCGCUCUAUAAUCGGAUGGUCAGCGCCGGAUGCCCGCCCAACAGGGCCACGUACAAUGUGCUCAUGGAUGGGCUCUGCAAGCGGGGCAUGGCGGGUGACGCCCUCAAGAUGUUUGACGAAAUGCUCGAGAGGGGGAUCGUGCCGGACGUGAAGAUCUAUACUGUGUUAAUCUCGUCCCUGUGCAGUGCAGGGAGGGCUGAGGAAGCUGCGCGUCUCAUUGGCUCCAUGAAGGAGAAGGGGUGCCCACCCGACGAGGUCACAUACAACGCUUUCUUGAGCGGGCUCUGCAAGGCUGGCAGGGUUGAUGAUGCAUUUGAGCGGUUGGAGCUGCUCCGAGAAGGGGGGUUUGCACUUGGAUUGAAUGGGUAUAGUUGUCUGAUAGAUGGUCUGUUCCAGGCCGGCCGGUUUGAUGAGGGCUUCAGUUAUUACAAGGAAAUGUUGGAGAAGAAUGUUAAACCAGACGUCGUCCUGUACACGAUAAUUAUCCGUGGUUGUGCAGAGGCUGGCAGGACCGAGGAUGCGUUCUCAUUACUCAAUGUGAUGAAGGACAAAGGGUUUGUGCCUGACACUUUCUGUUACAACACACUGCUCAAGGCUUUCUGUGAUGUCGGCAACCUGGAUAAGGCUCAGUCAUUGCGGUCAGAGAUGUUGCAGAAUAAUGUGGCCCUGGACUCAACAACGCACAAUAUCAUGAUAUGUGGACUGUGCAAGAAAGGACUCAUAGAUGAGGCAAUGCAGGUUUUUCAUGAGAUGGGAGAACUUGGUUGCCAUCCGACGGUCAUGACAUACAAUGCACUCAUUGAUGGACUCUAUAGGGUCGGCAGGCUAGAGGAUGCUCAGAUGCUUUUUUAUAAGAUGGAAAUGGUGAAUAACCCCUCCUUGUUCCUUCGACUGACCCUUGGUGCCAACCAGGUGAGGGACAGCGAGAGCCUUCGUAAGCUGGUUGAUGGUAUGUGCGAAUCUGGGCAGGUGCUGAAAGCUUUCAAGCUUGUUCGGGGUAUAAUAAACAGUGGAGUUGUUCCUGAUGUUGUCACAUAUAACACACUGUUAAAUGGACUCUGUAAAGCGAAGAAUCUUGACGGCGCACUGCGGCUCUUCAAAGAGCUCCAACUUAAGGGAAUCUCUCCUGAUGAAAUCACUUAUGGGACUCUAAUUGAUGGGCUUUGGGGGGCACACAGAGAAAAUGAUGCCAUGAUUUUGUUCCAGAACAUAUUGCGGGGUCAUGGUUCCCCUAGUUUGUCGAUCUACAAUACUAUGAUGAGAUCACUCUGUAGGAUGAAGAAAUUGACGCAAGCAAUCAACCUCUGGUUGGAUUACUUGCCCAAAAAGUACAACCUCACACCAGAAGAUGAAGUAAUCGCUAAUGCCCGUAACUGUUUUGAAGUAAGAUCCCUGGAUGAAGCAGUUAAGGAGUUAAUCAAGAUUGAUCAAGAAUACGACUCCGUUAGCUCAAACCCUUACACCAUUUGGUUGAUAGGGCUUUGUCAGGUAAAGAGAAUUGAUGAUGCUCUUAGGAUAUUUCAUACCCUUGAAGAAUUUGGAAUUGAUGUCACACCCGCGUGCUGUGCUCUUCUUAUCAAUUACCUAUGCUGGGACAGAAAUCUAAAUGCAGCAGUUGAAAUCAUGAUGUAUACAUUGAGUAAACGUUUCAUUGUGUCCCAAGCUGUAGGCAACCGUUUACUUAGGCGGCUUUGUAUCCGUUAUAGAAGGAAGGAUGCACAGGCACUUGCAUGGAGAAUGCAUCUUGUAGGAUAUGAUAUGGAUGUAUAUCUCCGCGAGCCUACAAAAACUUUGCUAUACAGUCAA